AGUGAACGCUGGCGGUAGGCCUAACACAUGCAAGUCGAGCGGACGCACAGUAAGAGCUCGCCUCUACGGGUGGCGGGUGACGGACGAGUGACACGUGCAUAAGCAACUUAUUAUUCUGGGGGGAUUACGGAGGGAAACUUACACUACUACCUAAUAUAUUCUACGGCAUAAAGCAAUAGUUCUACAGACCUUUGCUGUCUCUAAUAGAUGAAGUCGCGCCGGAUUAGCUAGUUGGUAAGGUAACGGCCCACCAAGGCGACGAUGCGUAGCUGAUCUGAGAGGAUGAUCAGCCACACUGGAACUGAGACACGGUCCAGACUCCUACGGGAGGCAGCAGUGGGGAAUAUUGGACAAUGGGCGCAAGCCUGAUGCAGCCAUACCGCGUGAGUGAAGAAGGUCUUCGGGUUGUAAAGCCCUGUUGUUAGGAAAGAAAAGCAGCAUAUUAAACCCCCGCUGUUCUGACGGUACCCAAAGAAUAAGCACCGGCUAACUUCGUG
RNAcentral lists this ribosomal RNA (497 nucleotides) under uncultured bacterium. Its description in RNAcentral is "partial 16S ribosomal RNA". It matches the Rfam family "Bacterial small subunit ribosomal RNA", at positions 29 to 507 of the family's 1533-position model. The record is from RNAcentral.